This 130-nucleotide microRNA precursor is filed under the name Vitis vinifera (wine grape). RNAcentral's name for it is "miR166a stem-loop (vvi-MIR166a)". Its record names the gene vvi-MIR166a. It matches the Rfam family "mir-166 microRNA precursor family". Rfam says of the family: This family represents the plant microRNA (miRNA) precursor mir-166. Animal miRNAs are transcribed as ~70nt precursors and subsequently processed by the Dicer enzyme to give a ~22nt product. Lineage: Eukaryota; Viridiplantae; Streptophyta; Magnoliopsida; Vitales; Vitaceae. The record is from miRBase by way of RNAcentral.
GCGGGUGUUUGGAAUGAGGUUUGAUCCAAGAUCCUUCCUUUUUCUCCAUUAAUUCCUUCAGUACUGGUCAUGAUUUAGUUACUUCAUAAUCGGUUGAUCUCGGACCAGGCUUCAUUCCUGACACCAAGCU